ACAAUAAAACAUAACCGGCUGUGACAUCCAGAACCUCACUGAUUGUCAGGAUUGAUUCGGCUGAUCUGGCUGGCUUCGUGGGUGUCCACUUCCUCCUUCACUGCUCCAUCUGUUUCCUCCCAACGCUGCACAGUUGGUCAAAGAUGAUAGCACUCACUGAAUAGCAGAGUACCAGCCUUUGGUCACAAGUACACAGGUAGCUUCACUCCCCUGCUAGAACCUCCAGAUGAGUUCUCCAAAGUUGUUUUU
Molecule: small RNA, 249 nt
Filed under: Meriones unguiculatus (Mongolian gerbil)
Lineage: Eukaryota; Metazoa; Chordata; Mammalia; Rodentia; Muridae
Description: 7SK RNA (ENSMUGG00000006249.1)
Rfam family: 7SK RNA
About the family: 7SK was discovered as an abundant small nuclear RNA in the mid-70s but a possible function has only recently been suggested. Two independent studies have found that 7SK RNA binds the CDK9/cyclin T complex (known as elongation factor P-TEFb). P-TEFb activates transcription by phosphorylating the C-terminal domain of RNA polymerase II.
Source: RNAcentral